AGCAGGCCUGCAUCUGAGGACCGCAGGUUUCGGGGUGGGGUGUAUGGAUGGAGGAGAUCAGAGAGGUACAGUAGGGCCAGGGAAUGGAGGGAUUUGUAGGUGAGAAGGAGGAUUUUGUAUUUGAUGCAGGUCUUAAUUGGGAGCCAGUGAAGGUGGAUGAGGGUUGGGGUGGGUGAGGACCCUGGAGGCAGAGUUUUGGACAUACUGGAGCAUGUCUAAGGUUUGGCUGGGGACACCAGACAGGACUCCAUUGCAGUAGUCCAAACGGGAGCUGAUGAAAGCAUGUAUGAGGGUUUCAGAGAGUGAUGGCCGGAGUCUGUAAAUGUUUUAAAGGGGUGAUAGAAUGGAAAACCCAUUUUACCUUGUCAUAGUUAAAUAACGACAGUUCGGUGGGUAAAUAGGACAUGCUGUACAUAGAAGCUCAAAAGCCCAUUAACACGCCUUUCCUCUGCAACUCUCACAUUUUGAAACUGCCGCUGAAAACGUACAUUCAAGCCACUGACCUGAGACCAAAUCAGAAUGUAGCUAGCUAGCUAGGUCAAGUGGCUGUCAGACUUAGCACGCUGCUCUGUGUACUGUAGCGGGAUUUACAAAGAAGAAAAUUUGGCAUAUUUUCCAGGAUAUUGAAAAUGAACUAGGGUCGUGAAUGCAGUGUUCCAGGCUGUACAGGGAAUGGUGACACUUCUUAAAGUCUUCCCAAGGAACCAAACACUCGACGGGCAUGGCUGCUGUUUCUCUAUAAGGAGAUCCCUGUGAAGUUCGACACUCAAUUAUUAGUGUUAAUUUGCUCGAACCAUUUCACCUAAGACAGUUUUCAAAACGUUGGACAAUUUAAAGCAGGAUUUGCUAAGCUGCUGUUCCGUAUCUUCACAACGUACAUCACAAGGAGGACAACACACGAAAGACGCAGCAUGCCAACCAGAGGACACAACUGUCUCAUAUGACAUUAAGACCUCAUACAUGAAGCAAAGUACAUCAUCUGUAUCAUCGCAUGGUGAUGGAAAAUGCAAACACCGCACUGGUUUGAUUAUGUCUGGACUGUAGAACAACCUCACUCUUGCUGGAUUUUGUCACAGAGAGACAGCCAACUGAAAGUAAGAGAGCUAGGCCUCGGCCAAGUGAAAGCUGAAGCUAAACCUCUUUAUCUGUUUUUCUCUAGCUGUUGUCUGUAAUUGAUAGAUAUCCAGUUUGAUGAAGUAACAACUUCAAG
Molecule: long non-coding RNA, 1210 nt
Organism: Etheostoma spectabile (orangethroat darter)
Lineage: Eukaryota; Metazoa; Chordata; Actinopteri; Perciformes; Percidae
Exons: 3
Source: RefSeq, a predicted model, not a curated record